CGGAACAUCGUCCUGUAGUGGGGGGAUAGCCUUGGCGAAAGCCGGAUUAAUACCGCAUACGAUCUAUGGAUGAAAGCGGGGGACCUUCGGGCCUCGCGCUAUAGGGUUGGCCGAUGGCUGAUUAGCUAGUUGGUGGGGUAAAGGCCUACCAAGGCGACGAUCAGUAGCUGGUCUGAGAGGACGACCAGCCACACUGGGACUGAGACACGGCCCAGACUCCUACGGGAGGCAGCAGUGGGGAAUUUUGGACAAUGGGCGAAAGCCUGAUCCAGCAAUGCCGCGUGUGUGAAGAAGGCCUUCGGGUUGUAAAGCACUUUUGUCCGGAAAGAAAUCCUUGGCUCUAAUACAGUCGGGGGAUGACGGUACCGGAAGAAUAAGCACCGGCUAACUACGUGCCAGCAGCCGCGGUAAUACGUAGGGUGCAAGCGUUAAUCGGAAUUACUGGGCGUAAAGCGUGCGCAGGCGGUUUGCUAAGACCGAUGUGAAAUCCCCGGGCUCAACCUGGGAACUGCAUUGGUGACUGGCAGGCUAGAGUAUUGGCAGAGGGGGGUAGAAUUCCACGUGUAGCAGUGAAUUGCGUAGAGAUGUGGAGGAAUACCGAUGGCGAAGGCAGCCCCCUGGGCCAAUACUGACGCUCAUGCACGAGAGCGUGGGGAGCAAACAGGAUUAGAUACCCUGGUAGUCCACGCCCUAAACGAUGUCAACUAGUUGUUGGGGAUUCAUUUCCUUAGUAACGUAGCUAACGCGUGAAGUUGACCGCCUGGGGAGUACGGUCGCAAGAUUAAAACUCAAAGGAAUUGACGGGGACCCGCACCAGCGGUGGAUGAUGUGGAUUAAUUCGAUGCAACGCGAAAAACCUUACCUACCCUUGACAUGGUUGGAAUCCUGAAGAGAUUCGGGAGUGCUCGAAAGAGAACCGGCGCACAGGUGCUGCAUGGCCGUCGUCAGCUCGUGUCGUGAGAUGUUGGGUUAAGUCCCGCAACGAGCGCAACCCUUGUCCUUAGUUGCUACGCAAGAGCACUCUAAGGAGACAGCCGGUGACAAACCGGAGGAAGGUGGGGAUGACGUCAAGUCCUCAUGGCCCUUAUGGGUAGGGCUUCACACGUCAUACAAUGGUCGGAACAGAGGGUUGCCAACCCGCGAGGGGGAGCUAAUCCCAGAAAACCCAUCGUAGUCCGGAUUGCACUCUGCAACUCGAGUGCUUGAAGCAGGAAUCGCUUGUAAUCGCGGAUCAGCAUGCCGCGGUGUAAUACCGUUCCCGGGUCGUUGUUCUAC
RNAcentral lists this ribosomal RNA (1275 nucleotides) under Burkholderia vietnamiensis. Its description in RNAcentral is "bacterial SSU rRNA". It matches the Rfam family "Bacterial small subunit ribosomal RNA", at positions 119 to 1388 of the family's 1533-position model. The record is from RNAcentral. Lineage: Bacteria; Pseudomonadati; Pseudomonadota; Betaproteobacteria; Burkholderiales; Burkholderiaceae.